GGCCCAGACAUCAUGGAAACAAAGCUGACUCGUGAGGGGAAAGAACUGUGUGCGUCCCUUCCCUGUCACAUUUCUUCUUCUAGCUCUGCCAGCCAGCAAGUGGAUUAUAUCUACACUUGAUUCUAAGGAGCAGUUUGCAGCAGGUGGAUUGUAUCUACACUUGAUUCUAAGGAGCAGUUUGCAGCAGGUGGAUUGUAUCUACACUUGAUUCUAAGGAGCAGUUUGCAGCAGGUGGAUUGUAUCUACACUUGAUUCUAAGGAGCAGUUUGCAGCAGGUGGAUUGUAUCUGCACUUGAUUCUAAGGAGCAGUUUGCAGCAGGUGGAUUGUAUCUACACUUGAUUCUAAGGAGCAGUUUGAGUUCCGGUGCCCACUGAAGCCAGGGCCGUCAGAUGCCCCUGACAAGUCCUGGUGUUGGGAAUCAAACUUGAGUCACCUAGAAGAGCAGUAUUUGCUUAUCUUUGUGAAUAUGCGUCUUUCUUAAUUCCCUUCUCUCUCCAAACUUUGCCAUUACCAGAGGAAAGUUCUACUUUAUCAUAUUGCUAUUAGUGGAAGCAAAGCAAAAAUCUUAACACAACACUACAGAUUCCCUGGAUCAUUUCUAAUGGAUAUACCAGCUCACACCAUACAGGGGACAGCAAUCCAGAAAGAAAUCCUUAAAUCCUUUCAGUUUGGCCCCAAAUUUCACCUCCAAACUGAAUUUGCUAUUUUCAAACAAUGAUAUUCACAAUUAUUUUAAUAUAUUUAGUAUGGUUAUUCUUAUUCUGUUCAUAAUACUGAUACUAAAUUUUCUACAUUUGUUACAAAUCAUAGAAUCUAAUCUGUUGUAUAUUUUUUUACUCUAAGAACGUCAAUAUUAAAUUCUUAAUUCCUAUAGAGCUAUAACUUCUGAAAAGAUGAAAUGGCCUGCCAUUUUUCUCAUUAGCUAAGUGUUUGUUUCUUACAUAUUCAAGACCACUAUAAAGAUGGGCAUUCUUCCAUUAUAGAAAUUCUUUUCAUAACUUGAGUUUGCACACUCCUUGGCCACUGCUCCUACAGUUCCCAGGUGCAUCAAUUAAAAGUUGUUUCCUGUGGAUCACGUCAGGAAGAGUUCAGAGUCUAAAGCUCUUCAUAUUGUGGCUCGUCGCUGCUGCUUCACCUGUCCAGUGAGCUUGUGUUUCAGAGAAGAGAAUGGAAUCCAGGAAGUCUGAGAGCCUUGCUGAAGCCCUGUGGUGCAGCAGGGAGCACUGGCACCCAGGGCCAGGCACUGACUUUCAUCUAGAAAUCCACAAAUAAUGGUAUAUAGCUCUAGUUCUUAAUAAUUCCAUUCCCUCUCCCUGAAACAAUGGGAAUGCUGUGGAAGGGUAGUCAGGAGUUAUUUAUACAUUUAUAGCUUACUGUUGAUGAGCUGAUUUAUUGUGUUUUCUAAUGAUUCAGUGUAUUUUCCUUUGAGAAGUUCCAAGUCACUUAUAGAAAGGUUAUUCUGGUAAAGCAUUGUGGCUCUUAAAAAUAUACAAAAACUGAGGCCUUUAAACUUUUUCUCGUAUUGUG
Molecule: long non-coding RNA, 1528 nt
Filed under: Mus musculus (house mouse)
Lineage: Eukaryota; Metazoa; Chordata; Mammalia; Rodentia; Muridae
Description: long non-coding RNA chr6:8414254-8415782
Source: RNAcentral